AGAGAGAAGAAGACAGGAGAGAGAGAGAGAGAGAGAGAGAGAGAGUCCAUCUUACAUCUUGACUCUUCAUUCAGAAACAAGGAGACCAAUGUACAUGUGCCUAUGAAGAUGCUAUCUCCUUGUCAGUGAUACAAAUCCAACGAAUGUGGCAAGCAAUCCAUAUGGCAUCUGAAAGUGCUGAACAUGUUCAACAUAUCUCCAGUGUCUCCAGUGUCUUUGCCAUUGCUUCAUGUCAAAGUCAAAAUUCUUCCCUCUAUAUUCAUAUUCAAGCAGUUACCGGCUAUGUGUUAUCAAGUUUCCAUCAAAUUUUGUUUGAGGAGAAGGUCCUGCUGCUUAAAUUGUUUGAGGAU
Molecule: long non-coding RNA, 350 nt
Organism: Mus musculus (house mouse)
Lineage: Eukaryota; Metazoa; Chordata; Mammalia; Rodentia; Muridae
Product: predicted gene, 30165
Exons: 3
Source: RefSeq, a predicted model, not a curated record